RNAcentral lists this ribosomal RNA (448 nucleotides) under uncultured bacterium. Its description in RNAcentral is "partial 16S ribosomal RNA". It matches the Rfam family "Bacterial small subunit ribosomal RNA", at positions 330 to 794 of the family's 1533-position model. The record is from RNAcentral.
UCCAGACUCCUACGGGAGGCAGCAGUGGGGAAUAUUGCACAAUGGGGGAAACCCUGAUGCAGCAACGCCGCGUGAGUGGAGAAGUAUUUCGGUAUGUAAAGCUCUAUCAGCAGGGAAGAAGAAGGACGGUACCUGACUAAGAAGCCCCGGCUAACUACGUGCCAGCAGCCGCGGUAAUACGUAGGGGGCGAGCGUUAUCCGGAUUUACUGGGUGUAAAGGGAGCGUAGACGGUUAAUCAAGUCUGAAGUGAAAGCCCGCGGCUCAACUGCGGAACGGCUUUGGAAACUGAGUAACUGGAGUGCUGGAGGGGCAGGCGGAAUUCCUGGUGUAGCGGUGAAAUGCGUAGAUAUCAGGAGGAACACCGGUGGCGAAGGCGGCCUGCUGGACAGUAACUGACGUUGAGGCUCGAAAGCGUGGGGAGCAAACAGGAUUAGAUACCCCCGUACC